UGCUCGCGAGCUCGCAGAAAACAAACGCAUUUUUCGUUUGUACGAAUUAUUUCGGGUGUUUCGUCUCGUUGCGGUCGGUCGUGUUUGUUUUUUCCUGAUGGUGCUAAACCUUCGCGGUCGAGGUUAAAGUGAAAAUUUAGGUGAAAACUUAUUGAGGAAAAGUCAGUGUAUUGCUUCUGAAAAACGUCCUCCCGGUAAUUAAAAGUGCGCGAAAAACUGUGGAAAAUUAAACAAGUUGUUCGAAAACAAACUCAUCUGUCCGAACUGAUUAUUAUCUCCCAAACCCAAGUGCGCGGUACAGUGAGUGAAAUCACCUAUUUGGUACAGAUAGAUACUAGACGGAGUACAUACCUAUAGCCGAAGAACGCAAGAAAUCUGGAGCCACGCGACGGAGCCCAUUGAUGCCAUUGAAAAUGAUGACAACAAGUGGGGGAAAAUCGAUAUGGUACGGCAACAACAAGAGACCAUUGAUUGCACCUCAUUGCCACCCCCAUCGCUGCUGGUCGGUGUUGAUGUUAUUAUCAGCUGCCGUCGGAUUGUUGGGGCUACUGUUUGUGGAUGGAACCUCGGCUAAAAGUUUGUCUCUUACCGGAGAAAACUGUAUUCUUCGCGAACCUCUGUACAACAACACCUUCAACUUGAAGGGACUGGACUCGGAGCUGGCCCAUCACAUCAGUUCCGAUAUCAACGAUGUUUUCAUAUUCGAUGUGUGCGACCAUCUGAAGGUCAAGUGCAACGGAAUAGAAAAUGCAACGGCCUGUCUGCGGCGCAAAAAGGGCGGGGAGCAAGUGUUGGCCAUGGAAUCGAGCCUGCAUCUGCUGGAUGGUCGGAUUCAUUUCAACUUUUCCGGUGGACAGAGCUGUAAGAAUGGAAAAAAUUUCUCCUUGGAUAUUCUUAUGAUGUGUAGCUACACGCCUGUGGGAGUUCCGCUUACCGUUAUUCCGUACACGCAGGAUCAGUGUAACUAUUUCAUGUUCUGGACCUCGCCGCUAGUUUGUCUCCCGCUGCCAGAAAAGGUUAAACAGAAUGAAUGCUCCGUCAAGGAUGCGUCUGGCCAUGUGUUCAAUCUGCUUCCGCUGAGUCAUUUGAACCAUCACGUCCCGGAUAGGAAUGGUUCUCACUUUUUUGUGGCCGCUUGUAAACCGGUCCACUAUGGCCAUAUGACAAUGUGCCCUCCGGGAAGCAGCGUUUGCCAUGUAAAUAAGGCUGAAGAUGACUACACUAAGAAGUAUCACGAUUUCGGCCAAACCGAUCCCAAUCCUUCGUUGGAGGGCGAUAAGCUGGUGAUGAAUUUGAAAUCUGGUGAAGGAUCGUGUCAGGAUUCGAAGAUCAUAUUCGAGUGUGAUCCGGCGGCUGUCGAGGGGUCACCGGAGUACGUUGGCCAGGAAAAAUGUUGCCACAUUUUUUCGUGGCGCACCCAGCUGGCUUGCAAGAAAAAGGAGUCCUGUGCCGUGGUAGAUCCGAUCACCGGACUGCUGUUCAAUAUGACCCAGUUGGCGAACAAAAAGUACACUGUGACCGCGAGCAACUCAAGCUACGAGUUCGGAAUAUGCCAGCUAACCGAUACCAAGUGUCCAGCCAAGUCCGGGGCCUGUCAACUGACCAACAAUGGUUCCCAGACCAUCAGCUUAGGAACUAUCAAUGACGAGUUAUCGUACAACAUAACGGGGGCUCCUUUCCUGCAAUAUAGUUCAGGAUCAAUCUGCAAAAACGAUCAACGUUGGUCCACCAAAAUUGAGUUCAUCUGUGAAACGGACAAGGAUGAAAAGGCCCCACCCAAAGUGGUGGAAAACUCAAAUUGCGAACUGAUCAUCCAAAUCGAAACGGAGCUUGCGUGUACCAAGGAGAUUUCCUGUUCGGCCAUGAAUUUGUCCAGCGAUCAGGAAGUUGAUCUGAGUCUGUUGAUAUCCGCGGAGCACAACUAUGAAGCUUCCAUCAACGGUAGCCUGGAUAUCGCAAAAGAUCCCAAAAACAAGUUUUUCUUAAACGUUUGUCGACCGUUGCUAUCCACUUAUGGUUUAGGAUGCCCCGGUGGAUCUGCAGCUUGUAUGGCCGUCCAAGGACCCAACGAUCCUACCCCAACGAAAGAACUAUCGCUAGGUUAUCCGGAUGUUUCCUUGACUAUAGUUGGCGAUCGUGCUCAGCUGAAGUAUUUAAGGGGAAGUAAUUUCUCCAAGGACAAUUCGACUCAGCUAUCGUCCGAGGUUGAGUUCUACUGCCAACCGAAAGCCGGCCAUGGUCACCCAGUGCUACAGGAAAUCAUGCACGAUUGUCAUUACCGAUUUGAAUGGGCAACGAAUGUCAUGUGCCCAGAUGUAGCAGCUUCCUUCGAUGGGUCCCAGUGUACCAUUAAGAACACCGAAACGAGUGAAACUGUUGAUCUGAAAAAGUUAUUCAACAAUGGUGAACUAGUGAUCAACCCUAGCAAGAACAGUGUCUCGCAGGAAAUGAGGGACGGCAAAAUUCGGCUGUGCGAUAAAAAGAUCACGGCCGUUGUGGGUUAUAAGGACGCUGGGGUAAAGUUCUUCUUCACGGUGCCGGAUGCGAGCUGUGAGGGAACUGGUGGCAAUGUGAAUGUUAAUCUACGAGUCGGCUGUGGCGUUGAGGAGAGAUUCGUCGUUAAUGAGCAAAGUUCUUGCCAUCUGAUACUGACGCAAGUUUCGCCACAAAUCUGUGCCCUGGUCGGAGCAGCAACACCAGCAGCGUCUGAGACCGGUAGCGGCAAUUCGGGGACAACCAGUACAACUCCGAAACCGACACCGGCGGAUAACCACGGAGUUCCAUCGGAGAAGACGCCAACGACGACGACGACGACCAAGGCACCGGCAACCUCGAGCGAGGAACCGAACAAGAGCAAUCAAGAGCCAAUUGUUGACAGUUCCGGUGGCAGUGCUGUGGGUGUCAUCUUAGCGGUACUGACGGCACUUUCUUUGGCCGGAGCCGCCGGGUUCAUGCUGUUACGAAAUCCGGAACGUCGCGAAUAUCUGCGAUCGCUGUUCGGGCGCCGCAACGUCCUGGUCCAGUACUCGAGGGGUGAAUUAGAAUUUGAUUAGGUAGCCGCACAUCUCCUCCUUUUCAAGCUGUUGUUAUGUUUUGUAGCCUUUCACGAAGCAUUUCUGUACAGGUCCGGAGCAAUGAAGAAGCGAACCUGUUGAUGAACCCCACGUCAAUGUCAGAGAGUGACGAUGAGAUGCUUAUAUAAAUUGAUGGAUAAUCGUAAGAUGAUAAGGCAUGAACUCACUUCUCAGCUAAAGACACAACAACACAUGAAACAACGCAUGAGCCUUAAGGUAAAUAAUUUCAAAAAAACACGCUCUUACAGGAUGCCAAGGGACUAAAUUAGUGUGCUUUAAGAGUAGGAAACUAUAGCAAAGUAACGGAACGAGAGAGAAGAAAACGAUUUGAUACGAGUAGUUCUAAUAUUUGUGAUUCAAAAGUAGGUUUAUGCAAACGGUCCAGAAAGAAGGCUAAAUUUAAUUUGUUUACUUAUUUAAAGUUAAAAUUGAUUUCCUCCAGCGUCAAACGAGCGCAGCUCGACAUUGUUACUUAAUUUAGGAACGAAACUCUAAUUGGUUCCGAUGAGUGAGAUUUUGGUUGUGUAUUGAAAAUUGUAUUGCUUUAGUUUUUUUUUAUUUAACUUGCCUCAGACUAUGUUUUAAAUCUUAUAAAAAAAAACAGAGGAAAGCACUAGUAACGGUAGACUUGAACAAAAAGAAAUCCAAAACGAAACUUAAGACAAAGAGAAAGGAUCGAGUCAUCUAUUUUAAUACGCUUUAAACUUUAAUAAACAGAGUGAAGAUAAUUUAUUUAAAAUA
Uranotaenia lowii is the source of this 3815-nucleotide RNA transcript. It is a transcript of the gene named cation-independent mannose-6-phosphate receptor, with no coding region annotated. The transcript is spliced from 9 exons. Lineage: Eukaryota; Metazoa; Arthropoda; Insecta; Diptera; Culicidae. The record is from RefSeq and is a predicted model, not a curated record.